This 499-nucleotide ribosomal RNA is filed under the name uncultured bacterium. RNAcentral's name for it is "partial 16S ribosomal RNA". It matches the Rfam family "Bacterial small subunit ribosomal RNA", at positions 28 to 506 of the family's 1533-position model. The record is from RNAcentral.
GACGAACGCUGGCGGCGUGCUUAACACAUGCAAGUCGAACGGGUCUGCCCUGUUUUUUGCGGGGUGGGUCAGUGGCGAACGGGUGAGUAACACGUGAGUAACCUGCCCCUCACUUCUGGAUAACCGCUUGAAAGGGUGGCUAAUACGGGGUGUUCUGGCUGUGCCGCAUGGUGUGGCUGGGAAAGAUUCACUUUUGUGGUGUUUUGGUGGGGGAUGGGCUCGCGGCCUAUCAGCUUGUUGGUGGGGUGAUGGCCUGCCAAGGCUUUGACGGGUAGCCGGCCUGAGAGGGUGGGCGGUCACACUGGGACUGAGAUACGGCCCAGACUCCUGCGGGAGGCAGCAGUGGGGGGUAUUGCACAAGGGGCGGAAGCCUGAUGCAGCGACGUCGCGUGAGGGAUGGAGGCCUUCGGGUUGGGAACCUCUUUCGCCGGUGAAGAAGGUCCUGCUCUUUGUGGUGGGGUUGACGGUAGCCGGGUUAUGAAGCGCCGGCUAACUACGU